Molecule: non-coding RNA, 73 nt
Organism: Cydia strobilella
Lineage: Eukaryota; Metazoa; Arthropoda; Insecta; Lepidoptera; Tortricidae
Source: the annotation of a RefSeq genome assembly
GUCUUGGUGGCUCAGUUGGCAGAGCGCUGAAGUAUAGAUCCAGAGGCCGUCAGUUCAAGUCUCACCCAAGGCA